UGAGAAGUCUGAGGGAGCCUAGA
RNAcentral lists this unclassified non-coding RNA (23 nucleotides) under Mus musculus (house mouse). Its description in RNAcentral is "oocyte_clustered_small_RNA13843". The record is from RNAcentral. Lineage: Eukaryota; Metazoa; Chordata; Mammalia; Rodentia; Muridae.